CAAUAAGUUUAUCAGAAAACAACUUUAAUAUUAGUAUAUACAAAUUUAAUUGCAAGGUGGGUCCCAAUCACAUCCUUUUCUUGAAAUGUUGACCCGAGAAUAUAUAAAAAAUUCUUAAGCCACAUAUAUUAUUUAUUUGUGGGGAUAUGCAUAUAGUUUUUAGUUGAAGAAGAGAGGGUCAGGCCAAUUAUGCACAAUCCAUUUCUUUUGUGGCAACACAAGUGUGGCUAUUGCCCAUAGUUGUUGUGGUGUAUGGAGGUUGUCUUUUAAUUCAUCGUUACCUUGGAUUAUUCUUACUCAUGAUUUGGUUGCCUUUUGAUUCUAUUGUUUUUCUAAGAGGUUUGGUUUAAUGCCUCCCUUUAGGUACUAUCUUUCUUAUUUAGUAAACUUUGUUCGAUUGCGAAAAUAAAAGAGUUCUAAAGACGGGCGGUCGUUCUCUUUUGGGAUUGAGAUGAAACUAACAGUGUCAUACAACAUACAUCAAUCUUUCACAUGAAAAGUCUAUCUGUCGUGGGCCUCAUCCUCCAUGCCAUUUUACUCGCUAAGAAUAAUCUAGUUGUUGAGAACAUUUAUGAUUUAUCAUAUGGGAGCCUCUCCUAAGUUUUAUGCCUCGGUCUCCUUGGCUCUUUUGUUUUGGAAAUUCAUGCAAAGUAGGGUACGUACUGAAAUUUAGAAUUAAGGCGUAGAGUGUGAAAGAUGGACAAACAAACAAGUGUGGACUGGGCACACAGCAAGGGCAUCGGUUUUCUUACUCCCAUUGACUCGUUAGACUUGAAUCAUGACCAUAUCAACAUUAUUUCAAAUAAACCCAUUUUCCUGGAAACAUAUAUGCGCGCAUGUGAUGCUGAGAAUAUUGAAAUACAGCAUUUGAUUCAGACAUCAAUAUGUUGGGAAAGAAAUAAUGACAUGAUGUUAGAGGGACUAGCUUUACCAGGCUCUCAACUUUCAUGUAUAUUAAUGUGCAUGGUCCUAUUAGAAGGUCCAGUAGUUUUCAUCUCAAUGAAUUGCUCUUAAUGCUAAAGUUUAAGUCGAUAUUAAUUGAAUGGUUCUUAACUUCAUUGAUGAGAUUCAUGAGAACCGGUAGUUGGAAAAGAGAAAUCUUCAGUUUGAAAGCUCAAGAUCAAGGUCCCUCUAACAGAUAUGUUCAUUAUGAAACAGAAUUCUUCUUCUAAAACUUGUUUCACAUUGAA
RNAcentral lists this long non-coding RNA (1190 nucleotides) under Fragaria vesca (wild strawberry). RNAcentral's name for it is "long non-coding RNA (FVES_LNC005337)". The record is from RNAcentral. Lineage: Eukaryota; Viridiplantae; Streptophyta; Magnoliopsida; Rosales; Rosaceae.